Pelobates cultripes (western spadefoot toad) is the source of this 241-nucleotide non-coding RNA. The record is from the annotation of a GenBank genome assembly. NCBI's taxonomy places the organism in Eukaryota, Metazoa, Chordata, Amphibia, Anura, Pelobatidae.
GUGUAAAUCAAGAGAGCUAGACCUGAGAGCUGAAAGUGUCUUUGUAAAGGCAAUAGCAAUCACUGUAAGCAGAGCUACAGAGUGGACAUACCUGACUGGAAGGAAAGAUGCAGAGGAAAAGGCAGAGGGGGCGAUACCUGCCUGGAAUGAGAGAGCUGCUGCCUGGUUGGGUGGCAAAGCUCCAGAAGAAGGGGUACAGGGAGCUCUGUCACACACCAUAACUACUACAAUAUAGUGGUUA